GCACUGCUGAAGAGUCCCAUAAUAUGACGAAACGACCGUCCAGUGC
RNAcentral lists this non-coding RNA (46 nucleotides) under Schistosoma mansoni. Lineage: Eukaryota; Metazoa; Platyhelminthes; Trematoda; Strigeidida; Schistosomatidae. The record is from RNAcentral.